Molecule: long non-coding RNA, 900 nt
Organism: Sapajus apella (tufted capuchin)
Lineage: Eukaryota; Metazoa; Chordata; Mammalia; Primates; Cebidae
Exons: 3
Source: RefSeq, a predicted model, not a curated record
ACCACUGUGCCUGGCCAUAUAUUAGUUUUCUAUUGCUGUGUUACAAAGAUCACAAACUCAGUGGCUUAAAACAACACGCAUUUAUUAGCGCACAAAUUCUGUAGCUCAGAAGUCUGGGUAUGGCAUGGCUGGAUUCUCUGCUCAGGGUCUCAUAAGGCUGACGUCAAGGUGUCAGCCAGCCUGCCUUUCUUUCUGGAGCUUGGAGCUGUCUUCAGGGCUCACACCGUUGUUGGCAUAAUCAGAAUGCAGUUCCUUACAGUCUAUCAGUUAGAGGCUGGCUCCUAGAGGCCACCUGCCAUGUCCUGCCAUGUGGCCCUCUCCACGACACGUCAGUUUUCUCUUGCAAGUCCAGCGGGAGAGCUUCUACUGCAACUGCAGAUCUCUCCGACUUGCUGUCUCUCACUUCUCGACUCUUUUCCAAACGGGCUCACCAGUCAGUGGGAAGCUUGGAGGCCAUCCUGCCUCUCUUAGAGAUAUUAGCUGAAUCCAGUUUCCAGUGGAAGAGAGAAGUAGUUAUUUCUUGAAUCUGGAAAACAGGGCUAUGGAAGUUGCAGACUGACGUCAGGACACCAUCCAUUCACAGGUACUCUAUUGAAUUCCUGCUCUGUGCCGGGUGCUGGGUCUGGAGUGGCUAACAAGACAGGUAGAUCCCUGCCUUCUGGAACUCCUGGGCCUGAGGACACUGGAGAGGUUUUCUUGCCAUUUAAAAAUAGAUGAUGGCCAUGGCUGCACAGCUCUGUAAGUGUACCAGGAAUCACUGAAUUGGUAUGUAAAGUACAUUUCAAUAAAGUUGUUUUUCAGAAAGAAAAGUGCUUACAGAUUUGUUGGAGCAGAAUAGAUGCCCAUGUUCAGAGAGAGAGAGAGAGCCAUUGAGAGGCAGAGAGCACUGUUGGAGAGGCA